RNAcentral lists this ribosomal RNA (372 nucleotides) under Triticum aestivum (bread wheat). RNAcentral describes it as "partial small subunit ribosomal RNA". The record is from RNAcentral. Lineage: Eukaryota; Viridiplantae; Streptophyta; Magnoliopsida; Poales; Poaceae.
AUGCCCAAGUAUUUAAUGGGAAAGCUGCCUAUCUCACAGUUAAACAACUCCGCAUACUUUUCACAUUAUUUUCAUCCCCCCACGGUGAGGAUUUCACUUUUCUGGAAGUUCACUUUUAACCCACACAUCAUUUCAAACAGAUAUAGCAGCAACUUCAGGUUAACUGCCUUAUCGAUAUCAUCCUCCAAGCAAAUGAUGGCGUCAUCUGCGUACUGCAGAACAGACACCCCUUCAGGAAUAAGGUCAGAUGCCAGGCAUGUGAUCAACUUAUUUUUUUGGGCAUUUUUAAUCAUUUUGGUGAGGCAUUCCACAGCCAAAUUGAACAGAAAAGGAGAGUGGGGGUCGCCUUGGUGGACCCCCUUAGCACUUUGA